GGCUUAAUUUGACUCAACGCGGGGAAACUCACCAGGUCCAGAUGAAAUAAGGAUUGACAGAUUGAGAGCUCUUUCUUGAUUUUUCAGGUGGUGGUGCAUGGCCGUUCUUAGUUCGUGGGGUGACUUGUCUGCUUAAUUGCGAUAACGAGCGAGACCUUACUCUGCUAAAUAGCCAGGCUAACUUUGGUUGGUCGCCGGCUUCUUAGAGAGACUAUCAACUCAAGUUGAUGGAAGUUUGAGGCAAUAACAGGUCUGUGAUGCCC
This 263-nucleotide ribosomal RNA is filed under the name uncultured eukaryote. RNAcentral's name for it is "partial 18S ribosomal RNA". It matches the Rfam family "Eukaryotic small subunit ribosomal RNA", at positions 1187 to 1472 of the family's 1831-position model. The record is from RNAcentral.